RNAcentral lists this long non-coding RNA (984 nucleotides) under Pan troglodytes (chimpanzee). RNAcentral's name for it is "long non-coding RNA NONPTRT012959". The record is from RNAcentral. Lineage: Eukaryota; Metazoa; Chordata; Mammalia; Primates; Hominidae.
GGGAGGCUGAGGCAUGGGAAUCUCUUGAACCCGGGAGGCGGAGCUUGCAGUGAGCCGAGAUCAAGCCACCGCACUCCAGCCUGGGCAACAGAGCGAGACUCCGUCUCACAAAAUAAAUAAAAGCCCCGUCUCCAAAUAUGUCACAUUGUGAGGUACCCGGGGUCAAGACUUCAACAUAAGUUGGCGGGGGGCGGGGUGCAGGGCAUAACCCUGCCCAUGACAGCCCUGGUUCAUUUCUGAACUGGUUGAAGGCUGCCUCCCUCUGCCCUUGACGCCGCACCACCUUCCUGCCUGGAUCCUCUGCUCCCAUGUACUGUCCACAUGCUGCUCGAGGGCUCCUUCUUAUGCGCCACCUAUCCUGCUUCUCAGCCCUCAGUGAAGCCCAGUUCCUUCACAGGACGCAGGAAUCCCUCUUGAACCUGGCCCUACCUUUCUCGCCUGCCUGUGUUCCUUCCAUACUUCUUGUCUUGCGCUUGUCCCAGUGGGCGCUGAACUGCUGUGACCUGGCUGUGCUGUUUCCUGACUCGAUACUUCUGCUUCUAUUUAUGCCCUCACCCUGAGUUUUUUGCCUUUGCCUGCCUACCCCUUCUUCAUUCUUCAAAAUUGACAGUGAGAGGGAGACUUCUGUGGUUCCUUGAAUUCCAUCCCAGUUCUGGCUUCUGGCCCAGAGAGACUUGCAUGCAUGCACAGAACUCAGCACAGGCAGACGGCAUGCGGACAGAUCACAGCACAGCGGCCCUUUGUGAGGAACAAUGACAAUGACUUCCACCUCUUCCGGGGAGAAGCCCAGAUGAGGAGGAUGAAGUUGGCAAGAGUUCGCAUGCUAGCCAGUGCUCCAGGGUGAGGUAGCAGUGGUCCCUAAUUUCAAAUGGGAGUUAAAUUGGUCUUCCCAAAUCACUACCAUGGCCCAGUUGUUAUUUUAAUGGUGUUUUCCUCAUGGUUUUGUGUGGCAUGGUAGCAAAAUGUUAUUGAGUUGCCUUCAUU